ACUCAAAUGAAUUGACGGGGACCCGCACAAGCGGUGGAGCGUGUGGUUUAAUUCGAGGCUACGCGAAGAACCUUACCUGGGCUUGACAUCCUUGGAAUCCUCUAGAAAUAGAGGAGUGCCUUUUAGGAACCAAGUGACAGGUGAUGCAUGGCCGUCGUCAGCUCGUGUCGUGAGAUGUUAGGUUAAGUCCUUCAACGAGCGCAACCCUCGUGAUUAGUUGUAUUUUUCUAAUCAGACUGCCUCGGUAACGGGGAGGAAGGGGGGGAUGAUGUCAGGUCAGCAUGUCCCUUACGUCCAGGGCUACACACACGCUACAAUGGCCGGUACAAUGGGCUGCGAAGUCGCGAGGCGGAGCAAACCUCAUCAAAACCGGUCCAAGUUCGGAUUGCAGGCUGAAACUCGCCUGCAUGAAGCUGGAAUCGCUAGUAACCGUAGGUCAGCACACUACGGUGAAUACGUUCCCGGGUCUUGUACACACCGCCCGU
This 485-nucleotide ribosomal RNA is filed under the name uncultured bacterium. RNAcentral's name for it is "partial 16S ribosomal RNA". It matches the Rfam family "Bacterial small subunit ribosomal RNA", at positions 899 to 1397 of the family's 1533-position model. The record is from RNAcentral.